UCUUUUUCUUCAUCUUUUUGAAACCCUGGUUUUGUAUUACCACUGACCAGUUCAGUAAAGAAACAGCUGCUUCAUGUUUGCAUAAAUGUGUUUGUAACCAAUCUAACAUGCUAUUAUUUCCUUAUUUUUUUAUUCCGUGUCUAUAGAUAGUCUUCAUCGGGGAGGCAAGAUUUAUUUUGUCUGUUGGUUGCUUGGCUAGCGUAAGCUAAUCGAUUUACCUCACAUUUUGAAGUUGGAUGGAGAUUGUUUUUAAAUAAAUGCCGUACCUUUGUACUUUGGUUUCCUGUCGGAUUUUUCUCAAUUUUAAAUUGGGAAGUUUUAUCAUUUGUUUUGCAUAAUUAUUAUUUUUGACUUGCAAAUGAACGAUUAAUAAAUCUAGUCCCAUGUGUGCUAGCGAAAUGUCUUUAGUGUAAUCUCGGAGUGUAAUUUUUAUUUCAACUUUUACGUUUGCAUCAGGACGACCUAAAACACGAAAACUUUCUUUUUUUAAGAAUGACAUUCGUUACUUCAAACAAAAAUCGCUUUUAUCUUCUUUUUUUUUGCAGUAAAAGACCGGUUUCUUUAAAAAAAAA
This 572-nucleotide long non-coding RNA is filed under the name Mytilus galloprovincialis (Mediterranean mussel). Lineage: Eukaryota; Metazoa; Mollusca; Bivalvia; Mytilida; Mytilidae. The record is from RNAcentral.